Non-coding RNA from Aedes albopictus (Asian tiger mosquito), 72 nucleotides. NCBI's taxonomy places the organism in Eukaryota, Metazoa, Arthropoda, Insecta, Diptera, Culicidae. The record is from Rfam.
UGCUCGGUAGCUUAGUUGAUAAAGCACUUGUCUAGCGAAUAAGGGUCGUGAGCUCAAAUCUCACUUGAGCUG